Long non-coding RNA from Lagenorhynchus albirostris (white-beaked dolphin), 1592 nucleotides. RefSeq lists it as uncharacterized. The record is from RefSeq and is a predicted model, not a curated record. The transcript has 4 exons. NCBI's taxonomy places the organism in Eukaryota, Metazoa, Chordata, Mammalia, Artiodactyla, Delphinidae.
ACUGUCCGGAACAAGACACGCGCUGGAAAGCGCUGGAUGGAGUGAACCCGACCUUCUGCUUUGAGGGCCUCUCCGCACUUUCUAUGCCUCUGCCUUGGACCCUUGAAAAGGGAUGUGUGACUCUGACCGAAGGGACCUCAGUUCCUGUUCCUCUACAUCAACAGUUCUCAACAUUAGCCUCUGUCAGGAUUACGGAGGGCCGGCCAAGACGCAGGCUGCCAGGCUCCGCCCAGGAAAUCAGAUGAGGAAAACCUCUUGCUGACAAACCCAUCCCUCUGUCUGAGGCACUCACAGCCUAAAGGAGAGACCCAGCCAUGGGACUAUGGCCCCUCUGGACCACGCAAGCCGCCAGGAAGGAAUGAAGAGGUGAUGGCUUUCCUGACGUUUCCAGAUGCUUUUGGCAGAAGCGAAUGGAAUGAAGAUGUAUGGUGACGGGAAACAUAGAUGGCAGUCCAGAACAACAAUCGUGUCAGCUCUGGAUGUCCCUGCAGAGCUCGGCACAGGGCGGAGUGAGUGUGGGAACGCGAGGCUGGGGGCCGUGUGCGGGUUCACCUGUCCUCUGCUCAGGGCCCCUCCCCCGACACCAGCUUCUUUGUGCUAGUAAGCCCCAGAAGAGAGCCCACUGUCAGUGCAGAGGACUGAGGGGCCCUCACACAAAGGAGCACCUGGUCUGGGAGGCCUCGGCUGCCCGGAACUGCAGGGCCAGGGCCAAGGCCAGGAGGGGAAGAGAGGGGAGGUGCGGCGCCCACAGCUCACCUCCAGGAGGGACUGCAGAGGAAUGCUCCUUCUGUCCCAGAUGGAGGCAGGCAGUGACAGAGGCUCCAGAGGAAGAUCUUUUCCCACAUCAGGUCCUCUGGUGGGUCCACCAGUCACGUGUGACUGCCCUGGCCCACAGGAAGCCCUGGGGCACAGUGCCUGUCUGCCUGUAAGCAAGGCCUUCUGGGUACAGCGACUAAGCUCUGCUUGAGCAGAUGUGACAGGAAUUCCGCCCGGACUAGCUCUGUCCCUGGCACUUGGGGUGUGGGACCCUCAGUGAUGGCACUGUUCAGGGAAGCAGAAUUACAAGGCCUGCCCAAGAUAAAAACAGCAAAAUCCACUCUCUGUCCUCCUCAUGAGUUUGGAAGAGAAGUGCUUUGAGAAGAGCAGCUUUCUAUACACACACGGAAUAGUGCUGAGGACUGUGACUCAGGCUCUCCCAGGAGGGCGAUGCAGCCUGCGGUGUCACGGGACAUCAGUGUGCUGGGACCUGUGUUGCCACCGCACAGCCCGCCUUCCUCGGGAACUGGGAGGGACUUCUGGCAGAGACCCUGGAAGGCUCCCGAUCUCCAUGGGAAGCCCCAGGGAUGAUACAGAGUCCGGGGCUGCAGCAGCUCUGAAGGCCAGUUUCCCUUUGCUUCCGUGCCCCAUCCAGAGGGCGAGCCUUCCAGAGGCCUGCUGCUCAGACCCUUGGUAGGGAGGACCGUGGAGAUGUGGCAGGCAGUGAGACACAGCCUCAGAGGCAGCCCUCAUAUCUUCAUCGUGGCAGAGAGUUCUCAAAGCAUGCUCCCUUUGGAGAGCUCCUUUAAUUUCCGAGCAGUCCUGAGAGGCUGCGU